This 69-nucleotide antisense RNA is filed under the name Lentzea waywayandensis. RNAcentral's name for it is "ASpks TB sRNA". It matches the Rfam family "ASpks TB sRNA". The record is from RNAcentral. Lineage: Bacteria; Bacillati; Actinomycetota; Actinomycetes; Pseudonocardiales; Pseudonocardiaceae.
CUUCACCGAACCCAGCCACAGCGGCGCUUCCCGGUCCUGCCCGUAGGUGGCCAGCAGCGCCUGAGCCUC